This 30-nucleotide non-coding RNA is filed under the name Mus musculus (house mouse). The record is from RNAcentral. Lineage: Eukaryota; Metazoa; Chordata; Mammalia; Rodentia; Muridae.
UGUCCACUCAGGAUUUUACAGAGUCAACAA